GAGGUUAUAGUUCAGUGGUAGAGCGCAUGCUUAGCAUGCACAAGGUCCUGGGUUCAAUCCCCAGUACCUCCA
Molecule: transfer RNA, 72 nt
Filed under: Camelus bactrianus (Bactrian camel)
Lineage: Eukaryota; Metazoa; Chordata; Mammalia; Artiodactyla; Camelidae
Also listed under: 3 other names
Rfam family: tRNA
About the family: Transfer RNA (tRNA) molecules are approximately 80 nucleotides in length. Their secondary structure includes four short double-helical elements and three loops (D, anti-codon, and T loops).
Source: Rfam by way of RNAcentral